Long non-coding RNA from Drosophila nasuta, 408 nucleotides. RefSeq lists it as uncharacterized. Lineage: Eukaryota; Metazoa; Arthropoda; Insecta; Diptera; Drosophilidae. The transcript is spliced from 3 exons. The record is from RefSeq and is a predicted model, not a curated record.
UUGAUCCGGUUUCGAGUUUGAUUUGUACAAAACUUCAAAAUGUAAAAAAAAAAUUAUAAACAAAUCCGAAUGGUUAUUACGCAAUUGGAGACGCGUCGCAUACAUUUGGAAAGCUGAACAGAGUUUUUUUAUUUUGAUUUUUGGACAUACGAAUAUCCAACUCUGGCUUUUGGCAAAGGUGUUGUGAAAGUUUUUCACACAGGAAGCGGGCCAAGAUUUAUGUAAUCAUUUUAUGCUCAAGGCUGUUUGGGGACAACAACGUCGACUGCAUACUAAAUACGAAAAUAAAACAGUGUGAUUCAGAUUUGUCACAAACACACACAAUAUAAAUACUAUACGAAUAUCAGAGUUGAGGCUGGUUAAAAAAAAGUGGUCGAUCGACCUUGCCGGUCUGCGAAAGUUGGCUCA